This 460-nucleotide ribosomal RNA is filed under the name uncultured bacterium. RNAcentral describes it as "partial 16S ribosomal RNA". It matches the Rfam family "Bacterial small subunit ribosomal RNA", at positions 338 to 795 of the family's 1533-position model. The record is from RNAcentral.
CCUACGGGUGGCAGCAGUGAGGAAUAUUGGUCAAUGGGCGCGAGCCUGAACCAGCCAAGUAGCGUGAAGGAUGACUGCCCUACGGGUUGUAAACUUCUUUUCUAAGGGAAUAAAGUGAGGCACGAGUCCCUUUUUGUAUGUACCUUAUGAAAAAGGAUCGGCUAACUCCGUGCCAGCAGCCGCGGUAAUACGGAGGAUCCGAGCGUUAUCCGGAUUUAUUGGGUUUAAAGGGAGCGUAGAUGGGUUGGUAAGUCAGUUGUGAAAGUUUGCGGCUCAACCGUAAAAUUGCAAUUGAUACUGGCAGGCUUGAGUACAGUUGAGGUAGGCGGAAUUCGUGGUGUAGCGGUGAAAUGCUUAGAUAUCACGAAGAACUCCGAUUGCGAAGGCAGCUUACUAAACUGACACUGACAUUGAUGCUCGAAAGUGUGGGUAUCAAACAGGAUUAGAUACCCUAGUAGUC